This is a long non-coding RNA of Dermacentor albipictus, 934 nucleotides long. RefSeq lists it as uncharacterized. The record is from RefSeq and is a predicted model, not a curated record. Lineage: Eukaryota; Metazoa; Arthropoda; Arachnida; Ixodida; Ixodidae.
GUGUAAUCCCUUCCGUUUCCAGUCGUUUCCAUCUGUUUCCGCGAUGAUCUCGAUGGUUCUCUUUAGGAUCGCGGCCAAGAUACUGCAAACGCUCUUAAGACAAGAGUAACAAAGUAGCCGGCUUUUUCACCCAAGAAGUUAUGCGACAAACAAUGAACAAGCCGGCAAAAUGAAAACGUGGGGCGGAAACAGCGCUUUCCAAGGUAAAGCUUCCCAGGAGAGGCAUUGGUGUAACGACCGGAUCAUUGAAUGCAUUAUUCAGAUGUUGCGGUAUAGGUCUGAGCCGAGAUUUUUGCUGAGGCUGCCCGGACACCAUGGAGAACUUACUGAUUCUCAGAGUUAGAAAACAAAGGUGGCCUGCAGUAAAGGACGAAAAAACAAUCGUAAAAGUUUGCAGUACCACACAUCUUGCAGCUGAAAUACGGCCCCGUGCUCCGAACUGCAGCGGACCACGCAGGUUGUUUUAGUGCCGUGAAGCCCUGUUCGGCCGCUUCUACUCUGUGCUUUCGUUGCAACGGAUCGCAGCAGCCGUUGCUUGAGCCGGUGACGGAACGGACGGGCCUACUGGACGCGCAAGUAUUGGGGUCGUCGGAAGCUUGAACCUGCAGUAAGGCCGCUUCUCCGCUGAGCGACUUGACCAAGGCCUACAAGAAUUCACGCUGAUCCCAGGUUUUGAGGCCUACUGUAUGCCGAAGCAAACGACUAUGAGUCGUGAAUAUUUAGAACGUUUUUUGACUAACCUUUGGCUGUGCAAGGUAAAAAAAAAAACAGGAUAGGAUACUUUCCAACAAAACUCCAACGGCUACGUAAAAGCAAUGUCUGCACCUUUAACGCCGCAUCUGGGCUGUGUCCUCAGACACAGCAAAAAAGAAAGGCAAGAGUGCGAAAACGACGAAUAAAAUGCACUCGCAAUAAAGUCGGAUGAUGUAUCUUC